GACGAACGCUGGCGGCGUGCUUAACACAUGCAAGUCGAGCGGUAAGGCCCUUUCGGGGGUACACGAGCGGCGAACGGGUGAGUAACACGUGGGUGACCUGCCCUCAGCUCUGGGAUAAGCCUGGGAAACCGGGUCUAAUACUGGAUAUGACUCCAUGACGCAUGUUGUGGGGUGGAAAGCCUUGUGCGGCUGAGGAUGGGCCCGCGGCCUAUCAGCUUGUUGGUGGGGUGAGGCCUACCAAGGCGACGACGGGUAGCCGGCCUGAGAGGGCGACCGGCCACACUGGGACUGAGACACGGCCCAGACUCCUACGGGAGGCAGCAGUGGGGAAUCUUGCGCAAUGGGCGAAAGCCUGACGCAGCGACGCCGCGUGAGGGAUGACGGCCUGGUGUAACUACUUC
Molecule: ribosomal RNA, 401 nt
Filed under: uncultured bacterium
Lineage: Bacteria
Description: bacterial SSU rRNA
Rfam family: Bacterial small subunit ribosomal RNA
Source: RNAcentral